AACGAACGCUGGCGGCAUGCCUAACACAUGCGAGUCGAACGAGACCUUCGGGUCUAGUGGCGCACGGGUGCGUAACGCGUGGGAACCUGCCCUUAGGUUCGGAAUAACUCCCCGAAAGGGGUGCUAAUACCGGAUAAUGUCUUCGGACCAAAGAUUUAUCGCCUUUGGAUGGGCCCGCGUUGGAUUAGCUAGUUGGUAGGGUAAAAGCCUACCAAGGCGACGAUCCAUAGCUGGUCUGAGAGGAUGAUCAGCCACACUGGGACUGAGACACGGCCCAGACUCCUACGGGAGGCAGCAGUGGGGAAUAUUGGACAAUGGGCGAAAGCCUGAUCCAGCAAUGCCACGUGAGUGAUGAAGGCCUUAGGGUUGUAAAGCUCUUUUACCCGGGAUGAUAAUGACAGUACCGGGAGAAUAAGCUCCGGCUAACUCCGUG
Molecule: ribosomal RNA, 433 nt
Filed under: uncultured bacterium
Lineage: Bacteria
Description: partial 16S ribosomal RNA
Rfam family: Bacterial small subunit ribosomal RNA
Source: RNAcentral